CACGAUGGCAGUGCAGAUCUCCAGGAAGAGGAAGUUUGUUGGUGAUGGUAUCUUCAAAGCUGAACUGAAUGAGUUUCUUACUCGGGAACUGGCUGAAGAUGGCUACUCUGGAGUUGAGGUCCAAGUUACACCAACCAGGACAGAAAUCUUUAUCUUAGCCACCAGAACACAGAAUGUUCUUGGUGAGAAGGGCCAGUGCAUUUGGGAAUUGACCGCAGUAGUUCAGAAGAGAUUUGGCUUCUCAGAGGGCAGUGUGGAGCUUUAUGCUGAAAAGGUGGCCACGAGAGGUCUGUAUGCCAUUGCCCAGGCAGAAUCUCUGCAUUACAAACUCCUUGGAGGGCUUGCUGUGCGGAGAGCUUGCUAUGGUGUGCUGUGGUUCAUCAUGGAGAGUGGAUCCAAGGGCUGUGAGAUCGUGGUGUCUGGGAAACUCUGAGGACAGAGGGCUAAGUCCAUGAAGUUUGGGGAUGGCCUGAUGAUUCACAGUGGGGACCCUGUUAACUACUAUGUUGACACUGCCAUGCACCAUGUGCUGCUCAGACAGGGUGUGCUAGGCAUCAAGGUGAAGAUCAUGCCACCAUGGGCCCCUACUACUGGUAAGAUUGGCCCUAAGAAACCCCUGGCUGACCACGUGAGCAUCGUGGGACCCAAAGAUGAGAUACUGCCUGCCACCCCCAUCUCAGAAUAG
Molecule: RNA transcript, 685 nt
Organism: Lemur catta (Ring-tailed lemur)
Lineage: Eukaryota; Metazoa; Chordata; Mammalia; Primates; Lemuridae
Gene name: 40S ribosomal protein S3-like
Exons: 1
Source: RefSeq, a predicted model, not a curated record